Molecule: ribosomal RNA, 503 nt
Filed under: uncultured bacterium
Lineage: Bacteria
Description: partial 16S ribosomal RNA
Rfam family: Bacterial small subunit ribosomal RNA
Source: RNAcentral
AUUGAACGCUGGCGGCAGGCUUAACACAUGCAAGUCGAGCGGGGUGAUGGUGCUUGCACUAUCACUUAGCGGCGGACGGGUGAGUAAUGCUUAGGAAUCUGCCUAUUAGUGGGGGACAACAUCUCGAAAGGGAUGCUAAUACCGCAUACGUCCUACGGGAGAAAGCAGGGGAUCACUUGUGACCUUGCGCUAAUAGAUGAGCCUAAGUCGGAUUAGCUAGUUGGUGGGGUAAAGGCCUACCAAGGCGACGAGCUGUAGCGGGUCUGAGAGGAUGAGCCGCCACACUGGGACUGAGACACGGCCCAGACUCCUACGGGAGGCAGUAGUGGGGAAUAUUGGACAAUGGGGGGAACCCUGAUCCAGCCAUGCCGCGUGUGUGAAGAAGGCCUUAUGGUUGUAAAGCACUUUAAGCGAGGAGGAGGCUCUUUUGGUUAAUACCCAAGAUGAGUGGACGUUACUCGCAGAAUAAGCACCGGCUAACUCUGUGCCAGCCGCCGCCGUAA